CACAUUGUAUCAGUAUGUCUCAAUAUGCUUUUGUGUCCAGCUGUAUGAUUCAUGAUAAUGUUACACUUUUAUAAAGCUCAUGCACUACUUACAAGAGUAAAAAAAGAGGUCCAAAUAAAUAGUGUGCUUUGAAGCUCGACAUAAGCAAAAUACACAACAGAGUAGAAUGGGGGUUUCUUGCAAGGGAUUAUGUGCAGAUUGGGUUUUAGCAAUGGGUGGAUUGAAAGAGUGAUGUGUUGUGUCUCCACCGUCAGGUAUGUAGUUAGGAUCAAUGGUAGACUGGCAGACUUUUUUGAAACAGGUAACGAUCAAAGAUUGGGGAUCUUUUGUCCCCAUAUUUUUUCUUUUUCUUUUUUUUUUAUGUAUGGAAGAACUCUCAAUUUUGUUAAACUAGGCUCAAUUGGAUGAUUCUUUGAAAGGUAUUUGGACUAGUCAGAAUGGUCCUAAUGUGAAUCACUUUCUCUUUGGUAAUGAUAACCUGUUGUUUGUCAAAAAUAAAUAGACUGAAGCAAGAAAAGUGAGGGACUUGCUAAUGAUUUAUGAAAGUAGCUUUGACCAAAAGGUUAAUCUUGAGAAACAUCUACUUUACUUCAGUUUGAUUACUCUUGACGCUAAGUAUUGAGUCGUAUAUUAGAAGUAAAGGUCAUGGCGGAUCCUAAACUGUAUUUGAGGUUGCCUUUGGUUGUGGAUCUCAACAAAACAAAUGCUUUUAAAAGGAUGACUGACAGGGUUUAUUUGCACAUUUAUAUUCGGUCCAAAUGCCUUUUAUCUCAUUGAGGCAAUGAGGUCUUUGUAAAAUCGAUUUUGCAGUCACUCCCCACUUAUGCUAUGGUUUUAUUUUUAUGCCUAACUUGAUAACUGAUGCAAUUGUGAGUGCAAUACACAAGUUCCGGUGGCAAGGUUGAAAUGAGGAUCAAGGAUGGGCUAUGUUAACAGUAUAGGAGGCUUGGGUUUUCGAAAUGUCAGACUUUUUAAUUUAGCUUUAUUAGGUAGACAAGUUUGUUGUCUCUUAAAACAUAGAGACUUUCUUGCUUUCAAGGUUCUUAAUGAUAGUUCUUGGAUGAUGAUAUUCUUAACUAUAAACAUGUUGGCAAACUAUUUUUCAUAUUGACAAGCUUGAGCACAGCUGCAAAUAGCCUCGCACUGGGCAUGUUUUGGCAGAUCAGGGAUGGCAAAGAAUUGCAUAUAUGGGAGUAUAGAUGGGGAAACAAAGACAUUAUUGGACCGGAGUUAACUUACAAAGGAACUUUAAUAAGAGAUGCUACGAAUAGUCAGUUAAUACAUGAGGGAGAAAUAGGGUGAGAUGAGCAGUUUGUUCAAUAGGCUUUCACUCAAUCUGAACCAGAUUUGAUCUUAUCAAUCGAAUCUUUUAAGGCGUGGAUUGAGAGAUACACUCAAUGGGGGACAUUUUUCGGCAAGUAUAUAUUUGACAAAAGUGGGGUAUUCUUAGCUCCUUUUACGAUUUUUGGGUAAUGGUCCUCGCAAUGUCUUUUCGAGAAAAACUUGGAAGUCCAAAAUGCUUUCGAAGAUUUUUACAUCGCGACUAGAUAUGGUAUCUUGUGAAUUGACCCUAAGAUUGUUAAUAUGAGAAAUCUUCCAAAUCCAAGAUAUCAUAGAUGCAAGUUUGACAAAAAAUUGACCUUACCUACACUCAAAGAUUGUCAGGUUUCAAAUGCCACCUUAAGAUUGGUAGGUAUUGAUGACCAUAUAUUACUUUUUAAGUUUUUUAUUGUAUUGACUGGCUUGAGUAUGUUAUGUGUAAGCUAGACAGGGACGCUCUAACCAAUUUGAUCAUUUUGCUUGAGGAACUUUGGAAUUGAAGAACAGUGAGUUUGUGUAUGUGAAAUGGAGGCCACCUUUGGAAGGCCGAACCAAGGUAAAUGUAGAUGUGACAUUGGAUGUGAAUGCAUAAAUUUGUAAGCAUUGGUGUGGAGUUGCCUAACGCGGAUGGGAUGGUUUGGGAGGCUGUGUGAAGAGCAGAGUUGUCUAAGAGUUCAAUUAUUCGCCUAAAUUCUAAAGGCCAUUUGAAACAUAAGAUGACUUAGACAAAAAUACAAAGCUUGAAAAAUAAGUUUGGACAAAAGUGUAAGCCCAUUUUACUAUUUGUGUCAGGCCUUGAGCAAAAUUUUGUAA
Long non-coding RNA from Gossypium raimondii (Peruvian cotton), 2133 nucleotides. RefSeq lists it as uncharacterized. The transcript is spliced from 2 exons. The record is from RefSeq and is a predicted model, not a curated record. Lineage: Eukaryota; Viridiplantae; Streptophyta; Magnoliopsida; Malvales; Malvaceae.